RNAcentral lists this ribosomal RNA (496 nucleotides) under uncultured soil bacterium. RNAcentral's name for it is "bacterial SSU rRNA". It matches the Rfam family "Bacterial small subunit ribosomal RNA", at positions 26 to 518 of the family's 1533-position model. The record is from RNAcentral.
AGAUUGAACGCUGGCGGCAUGCCUUACACAUGCAAGUCGAACGGUAACGCGGGGCAACCUGGCGACGAGUGGCGAACGGGUGAGUAAUGCAUCGGAACGUGCCCAGUAGUGGGGGAUAGCUCGGCGAAAGCCGGAUUAAUACCGCAUACGACCUAAGGGUGAAAGCGGGGGACCGCAAGGCCUCGCGCUAUUGGAGCGGCCGAUGUCAGAUUAGGUUGUUGGUGGGGUAAAAGCCUACCAAGCCGACGAUCUGUAGCUGGUCUGAGAGGACGACCAGCCACACUGGGACUGAGACACGGCCCAGACUCCUACGGGAGGCAGCAGUGGGAAUUUGGACAAUGGGGGCAACCCUGAUCCAGCCAUGCCGCGUGCGGGAAGAAGGCCUUCGGGUUGUAAACCGCUUUUGUCAGGAAGAACGCUCUAGGUUAAUACCUCGAGGUAAGUGACGGUACCUGAAGAAUAAGACACCGGACUAACUACGUGCCAGCGAGCCGAC